GGUCCUCGUCUGCGUCUCGGUCGCUGAGCUGGGGGCCGCAAGGAGACCCGAGCAUAUGAGCCGCGAAGAGGGACUACCAGCCAGAGGGCUGUGGUGCUAGGCAACUGAGCGUAUUCCGCCGACGACAACACAAAAAAGCAGUGCGCAUUAUUUCGCCACUACUUGAGCAAAUAAAUGCCUCAUUAAUUACUGCCCGCAGUGGUAGGAAGUCAAGCCCUUGGCAGCUGGGAGGAGUUAAAACACUCACCCGAGUCCGUAAAACUAGAGAAUGUCAGAGUUCAAAGAGCUCUUGCUGAGAAUGACUGUUCCAGACUCGAUGCCAGUGACCCCCAACUUCCACUUAAAAGUUAAAAACAUAUUUUGCAGCUGCUCAGAAAGCCGCCAAUGAGACAACAGGGACUCAAAUAGUAAGAACAGAUGGGCCUCCCGGGCCUGCGCAACCCGAGAGAGGUAAAAACGAAAGGGUGGGUAAGUCUGGAGUCAGGCUUGACAAAAUUAAGUUGCCACUGGCUGCUAAUAAGAGGACAGCCCUUAACAUGGUCAGCGCCUGGAAAGGGCCGCUGACCACACAGCUAUUUUCUGCACCACAUGGAUACAAAGACCACAUCUGAAAUCAUGACUAAACCAGCAGCUUAGAGUGGUGGAAAGGGCAAUGGACUGGGCAGCAGGAAGUCCAGGUUUUAGUUCAAACUGAAUAAUCCCCCUCUAGGGCUGACUGUGCUGGCUCACGCCUGUAAUCUCAACACUUUGGGAAGCUGAGGCAGGAGGAUUGCGUGAGGCCAGUAGUUCCAGAGCAGCUUGGGCAGCAUAGCAAGACUCCGUCUCUAAAAAACAAACUGUAAAAUAUUUAAUAAAAAUAAUAGUAAUCUCUAUCUGGGCCUCAUCUAGACCUUUAGGUGAGUAAGAACCACCUAAUGUAAGAACUUGGGGUACAAAGAGAAUCUAGCUCUGGGGUAGGCAAACUGAGCCAGCCGACCUAAUACAUGGAGCCUACCACCUGUUUUUCUACAGCCCUGAGCUCUAUCUGCCAGAUAGCUAAGCUGGGAUCUCUGAGCUGGUGAAGGGACUUGCCCAUGGAGUCAAGGAAUGCUCAGGGUUCAUGCCUCAGGACUGUUCUCACCAACUUGACUCACCUUUGGGGCUCUAGUGGAGCCCGUGGGCCUUCCGGCAAACAGAAGUAGGCAAUGGGGGUCAGGAAAUGGCCCCCACUGCCUGUCCAGCGUGGUGCCAGCUCAGCCUAGGAUCCCAUGUCCCCUGGCACACCAGUGGUUUGAUAUAACCAGAGGAUCUCCUGCCCAUGAGGGGCGGCAGCGCUCCAGUUACCAACCCCCAAGUGAAAGAUCCUGGAUCAAGUCUUUCCUGAUUGGCCUGCACCCAGAGGCUACGCUACCAGAAGAGGAACUGGACAAGGGCACACCCCAAGAUAUACACGCGUUUUUUCCUUGAAAGGCCCAGGCUUUGAGGAGGCGAUCGCAACCAGUGGGCUGAAUAAAAGAGCAAGUGUCGGCACGGAGAGAGCUAGGCCCGGGCUCACCAAGACAUAGAGCCCGAGGGUUCUGAAAACACUGUUCACGGUGGAGCACGAGGCUCGAGCGCCAGAGACCUCGGAGUUGGGUUUCCACGUGGUUAUUCCCAGCGCCAAGUGGGCGGGGCAGGGGAGGGCGGGGCAAGGCCUCCUCCCAGCUUGGGCCACUCUGAUUGGUCCGCAGCAGCAUGUCUUUCCUGGCGAGUCUGGGCAGGCCAAGCAGCCCCGCCCACCCGCAGCCCAACGCAAAGGGGCGGGACCUAGAGCUGGCUGCAGACUGAGCGCCUUGCACCCAGCAGGUGUCGGGGUGAAAUCAGAGUGUCUAGCCCCUCAUCCCGUGGAGGCUGGCACCCUCGGCCUGAGCUGCACUCAUUGAGUAAACAAAUACAUAAUUGGUGAAUGCGUGAGUGGGUGAGAGAAAUCGAAGGGAAAACCCAAAAUUCUUCCAGGAUUUCAAUGAGAAAUAGCUAUAGAUUUUGUUUUGGUUGUUUUCGCUGUUCUCGGUUCUUACUUUUUCCAUAAUUGGGUGGAAAAAGUUAGAAACACUCGAGAGAGGAAGAAACUGCAAGAGGCAAAUGAAACCCAGGAGAAGCAAGGCAAGGAGGAGCUGGUGAUUCGAGAAUGUGUAAUAAAAAGACGUAAAAGAUGAAUAAAGUGCUCCAGGCCCGGGCAUGCCUGGCCCUUGGCUUCUUGGCUGAGUGGUCCCAGGCUGCACCUCUAGCUCCUGUCCUGGGAAGAAGAAAUCGCCUUACAAGAGGGGCGGAGUGAAGGGAGUGUAUGUGCUAGCGUGUGGGGCUGUGUGUAUGAGUGUGUGUGCAUUUGAGUAUGUGAGUGUGCUUCACUGUGUGUGUGAGGGUAUGUGUGACUGUGUGUGUGUACGCGCGCACGCAUGUGAGUUUGUCUACAUCAUUGGGGGAAAUAUAAUUAAAAACAAAAUCUUCUCCCAGCCCAGAUAACCUCUCCAUAAAGGUAGAAGAGAAAGAAAACAAUUUUCUUGAAUAAACAUUAAAUCAGAAUGUGAUAUGAAUCACAGGCAGCCAGCUAAAAGUAUUGCAAGGACAGAAAGAAACCUCACACUAGGCAUACCUCAGAGGUAUUGCAGUUUGGUUGCAGACCAGCACAAUAAAGCGAAUAUUGCAAUAAA
Molecule: long non-coding RNA, 2669 nt
Filed under: Homo sapiens (human)
Lineage: Eukaryota; Metazoa; Chordata; Mammalia; Primates; Hominidae
Description: HSALNT0287390
Source: RNAcentral